AAAACUUUUUGGCUAAGAUCAAGUAUAGUAUCAGUUCUUAUCAGUUUAAUAUCUGAUACGUCCCUCCAUAUAUUACAUUGAAUUUUUGGAACAAGGAGACGGAAUAGGGUGUAACCACAAGGGGGCACCAGUGAGCCCUAAACCACAGACACAAUGUCACCAAUCACAAUACUGGGCUCAAAUAAAA
This is a small nuclear RNA of Erpetoichthys calabaricus (reedfish), 187 nucleotides long. Its record names the gene U2. It matches the Rfam family "U2 spliceosomal RNA". From Rfam's summary of the family: U2 is a small nuclear RNA (snRNA) component of the spliceosome (involved in pre-mRNA splicing). Complementary binding between U2 snRNA (in an area lying towards the 5' end but 3' to hairpin I) and the branchpoint sequence (BPS) of the intron results the bulging out of an unpaired adenosine, on the BPS, which initiates a nucleophilic attack at the intronic 5' splice site, thus starting the first of two transesterification reactions that mediate splicing. The record is from Ensembl. NCBI's taxonomy places the organism in Eukaryota, Metazoa, Chordata, Cladistia, Polypteriformes, Polypteridae.